RNAcentral lists this ribosomal RNA (458 nucleotides) under uncultured bacterium. RNAcentral's name for it is "partial 16S ribosomal RNA". It matches the Rfam family "Bacterial small subunit ribosomal RNA", at positions 29 to 507 of the family's 1533-position model. The record is from RNAcentral.
AACGAACGCUGGCGGCAGGCCUAACACAUGCAAGUCGAGCGCGCCCUUCGGGAUCAGCGGCGGACGGUUUUGUAAGCCGUGGGAACAUGCCCUUUUCUACGGCAUAGCCUCGGGAAACUGAGAGUAAUACCGAAUACGCCCUUUGGGGGAAUGAUUUAUCGAAACAGGAUCGUCCCGCGUGGGAUUAGGUAUUUGUUGAGGUAAUGGCCUACCACGCCAACGAUGGAUAACUCAGCAGAGAGGCUGCUCAGCCACACUGGAACUGAGACCCGGCCCAGACGCCUACGGGAGGCAGCAGUAGGGAAUCUUCCGCCAAGGGCGAGAGCGUGACGGAGCAACGCCGCGUGAGUGAUGAAGGUCUUCGGAUCGGAAAACUCUGUUAUUAGGGAAGAAAAAAUGUGUAAGUAACUGUGCACAUCUUGACGGUACCUAAUCAGAAAGCCACGGCUAACUACGUG